GACGGACGCUGGCGGCGUGCUUAACACAUGCAAGUCGAACGGAAAGGCCCUGCUUUUGUGGGGUGCUCGAGUGGCGAACGGGUGAGUAACACGUGAGUAACCUGCCCUUGACUUUGGGAUAACUUCAGGAAACUGGGGCUAAUACCGGAUAGGAGCUCCUGCUGCAUGGUGGGGGUUGGAAAGUUUCGGCGGUUGGGGAUGGACUCGCGGCUUAUCAGCUUGUUGGUGGGGUAGUGGCUUACCAAGGCUUUGACGGGUAGCCGGCCUGAGAGGGUGGCCGGCCACAUUGGGACUGAGGUACGGCCCAGACUCCUACGGGAGGCAGCAGUGGGGAAUAUUGCGCAAUGGGCGGAAGCCUGAUGCAGCAACGCCGCGUGCGGGAUGACGGCCUUCGGGUUGUAAACCGCUUUCGCCUGUGACGAAGCGUGAGUGACGGUAAUGGGUAAAGAAGCACCGGCUAACUACGUG
Molecule: ribosomal RNA, 468 nt
Filed under: uncultured bacterium
Lineage: Bacteria
Description: partial 16S ribosomal RNA
Rfam family: Bacterial small subunit ribosomal RNA
Source: RNAcentral